RNAcentral lists this ribosomal RNA (468 nucleotides) under uncultured bacterium. Its description in RNAcentral is "partial 16S ribosomal RNA". It matches the Rfam family "Bacterial small subunit ribosomal RNA", at positions 28 to 507 of the family's 1533-position model. The record is from RNAcentral.
GACGAACGCUGGCGGCGUGCUUAACGCAUGCAAGUCGAACGGAAAGGCACUGCUUUUGUGGGGUGCUCGAGUGGCGAACGGGUGAGUAACACGUGAGUAACCUGCCCUUGACUUUGGGAUAACUUCAGGAAACUGGGGCUAAUCCCGGAUAGGAGCUCCUGCUGCAUGGUGGGGGUUGGAAAGUUUCGGCGGUUGGGGAUGGACUCGCGGCUUAUCAGCUUGUUGGUGGGGUAGUGGCUUACCAAGGCUUUGACGGGUAGCCGGCAUGGGAGGGUGACCGGCCUCAUGGGGACUGAGAGACGGCCCAGACUCCUACGGGGGGCAGCAGUGGGGAAUAUGGUACAAUGGGCGGAAGCCUGAUGCAGCAACGCCGCGUGCGGGAUGACGGCCUUCGGGUUGUAAACCGCUUUCGCCUGUGACGAAGCGUGAGUGACGGUAAUGGGUAAAGAAGCACCGGCUAACUACGUG